GAAGCAAUAAUGGCUCAAUCUAUAAACAUUCUCUUAGUGCUUACUACUCUCCUUGUCUUCGCUCCUUUUACCAUUGGUGGGAAGUCGACUGGAGGUUACCUUUACCCGCAGUUCUAUGACCAUUCCUGCCCUAAAGCUCAACAGAUAGUCAAGUCUAUUUUAGCCAAGGCAGUAGCAAAAGAAGCUCGCAUGGCAGCCUCAUUACUUAGGCUUCAUUUUCAUGACUGUUUUGUCAAGGGUUGUGAUGCAUCACUAUUGUUAGACAGCAGUGGAAGCAUAAUCAGUGAGAAGAGGUCUAAUCCAAACCGAAACUCAGCUCGAGGAUUCGAAGUGAUUGAUGACAUUAAAGGUGCACUAGAGAAAGAGUGUCCUCAAAUAGUAUCUUGUGCUGAUAUUUUGGCCUUGGCAGCUAGAGAUUCCACUGUUCUUACAGGAGGACCUAGCUGGGAAGUACCAUUGGGAAGGAAGGACUCGAGAGGUGCAAGCUUGAGUGGUUCUAACAACAACAUUCCUGCUCCAAAUAACACAUUUCAAACCAUUCUUACCAAGUUCAAGCUUAAGGGCCUCAAUGUUGUUGAUCUUGUAGCCCUCUCUGGAAGCCACACAAUCGGGAAUGCUCGAUGUACCAGCUUCAGGCAGAGGCUGUACAACCAGUCUGGCAAUGGGCAACCUGACUACACACUAGAUCAAUCAUAUGCUGCACAAUUGCGUACCCGCUGCCCUAGAUCUGGAGGUGACCAAAACCUGUUUUUCUUGGAUUUUGUAAGUCCAACAAAGUUUGAUAACAGCUAUUUCAAGAACAUAUUGGCUUCAAAGGGUCUGCUGAAUUCUGAUCAAGUUCUCCUGACAAAGAGUGAAGCAUCCAUGGACCUGGUCAAGAAAUAUGCUGAGAACAAUAAACUAUUCUUUGAGCAGUUUGCCAAGUCAAUGAUUAAGAUGGGAAAUAUCUCUCCAUUGACAGGUCCAAGAGGAGAGGUUAGGAAGAAUUGCAGGAGAAUUAAUACUUGAUUGGACUACUUAAUUACUCAUCUACAAGUAAAGGCAUUGCGUCUGAUUUCCUAUUUAUGUUCUUGUCUUCCUUUCCUAAUUCUGAAGAAAAAUUCUAGUUCUCCAUUUUGUUGUUACUACCAGGCAGAAUUCUCUGCUCUUACAGGGGUUGAAUUCUGUGGUUUUUCUGCUGUGUACGCGUGGAAUUUCAGAUAUUUAAUUUCAUAAAUAGCUGAAUGAUAUUUUCACUGCAG
Molecule: unclassified non-coding RNA, 1241 nt
Filed under: Hevea brasiliensis (rubber tree)
Lineage: Eukaryota; Viridiplantae; Streptophyta; Magnoliopsida; Malpighiales; Euphorbiaceae
Source: RNAcentral